RNAcentral lists this ribosomal RNA (557 nucleotides) under uncultured bacterium. RNAcentral describes it as "partial 16S ribosomal RNA". It matches the Rfam family "Bacterial small subunit ribosomal RNA", at positions 355 to 903 of the family's 1533-position model. The record is from RNAcentral.
UAGGGAAUCCUCGGCAAUGGGGGCAACCCUGACCGAGCAACGCCGCGUGAGUGAAGAAGGUUUUCGGAUCGUAAAGCUCUGUUGUAAGUCAAGAACGGGUGUGAGAGUGGAAAGUUCACACUGUGACGGUAGCUUACCAGAAAGGGACGGCUAACUACGUGCCAGCAGCCGCGGUAAUACGUAGGUCCCGAGCGUUGUCCGGAUUUAUUGGGCGUAAAGCGAGCGCAGGCGGUUUGAUAAGUCUGAAGUUAAAGGCUGUGGCUCAACCAUAGUUCGCUUUGGAAACUGUCAAACUUGAGUGCAGAAGGGGAGAGUGGAAUUCCAUGUGUAGCGGUGAAAUGCGUAGAUAUAUGGAGGAACACCGGUGGCGAAAGCGGCUCUCUGGUCUGUAACUGACGCUGAGGCUCGAAAGCGUGGGGAGCGAACAGGAUUAGAUACCCUGGUAGUCCACGCCGUAAACGAUGAGUGCUAGGUGUUGGAUCCUUUCCGGGAUUCAGUGCCGCAGCUAACGCAUUAAGCACUCCGCCUGGGGAGUACGACCGCAAGGUUGAAACUCU